RNAcentral lists this small RNA (3958 nucleotides) under Rattus norvegicus (Norway rat). Its description in RNAcentral is "uncharacterized LOC103690608". Lineage: Eukaryota; Metazoa; Chordata; Mammalia; Rodentia; Muridae. The record is from RNAcentral.
AAAAUCAAAACCAAAAAGAACCCCAACAACCCACAAAGAGCAAGGAGUUUGUCUAGUGUUGGAGCACUAUUCCUGGGCAUGGGGCCUGCCCUGCACUGUGAUUUGGUAGACCUAGUGACACUCUAUUGGAGAAAACUGAUUUUUCCCCUUCCCGGAAGCUAUCAAUCCCAAGUAGCUUCUUAGGAGUGGGGCUUUGCAUCCACCUCCUCUUCUCAGUGCUAGGAUUUUUUGUGUGGUUUAAAACUCUGCAGCUUUUGUACGGUCAGCCUGCUUUACUCCAUAACUCAGGACCAUUUACCCCGGCGUAGUACCUCCCACAGUGUGCUCUGCAGUCUCACAACCAUCUUAUUCAAGAAAAUGCCUCAUGGAUAUGCCCACGAGCCAGUCCGAUGGAAGUCAUUCUCCAGCGAGAAUCCCUCUUUUCAGGUGACUCACGUUGGCGUCCAGUUGGUGAAAGCUGACUAGCCCAGCCUGCAGAGGCAGUCGGCAUGCCUGCCCGGUGUUCCUUUGCACGGAAGUCCCAGAGAGCGAGUGCUGUGGAAGAGUCAAGCAUUGGCAUGUAAGGAGGAAGCUGUGAGCUGGGAUGAAUCCAGAAACGUUUUCUCAGGGGUAGUAUUUUGUGAUAGUGUCACCGGAGUCGAGCAAGUAUCAGUUGGAGGCAUACAAAACUGAGGAUCUAGAGUCAAAGAACCCAGAUCCUUGAAGAUCUCUAGUAACUUCUAGCGAAUGGGAAAAUCUACAAAGCUGAUUCUUUAGCUUUGAAUGUAAACAAACAUCUGAGCUCGAGUUUCUCAGUGUUGUCUUUCCUAGGGUCAUCUGCCAUGUGUCCUGCACUCCCAGAAUCCUGUUCUCAGUCAGUGGUCUCCUUCAGCUGUUAUGGUGACCAUAACUGAUGCUCUCAGGUACUCAUGCGCUAGCUCAAGUGAAGAAUUCCCACUUGACCAUGUCCUUGAAGUCCUCAUUAGUGAUGGAACUUAUAGGCCCUGGGAUAAAGUUUAAUAACUGACAAAACAUUUCCUUACUCUUCAUCUCAUUUGACUGUCAUGUGGAUAUGACCUGUCACCUGCGAGGAAUCGCUGUGUCAGUGUGAGGGUGAAGAAAAGAGACCAGUGUGACCUGUGUGGUCCUGCCUUUGCCUGCCAGUGGGCUUUUCUUUUUCCUACUGAAGAAUGGAAUCUUUAAAAACUUGAAUUUGUACUCCAGCAGCUGAUUAAUCAUUUGUAGGAAUUUUGUUUACAGGGACCACAUUGGCUGGAGCCUUUCAGACUUUCCCCCUAAGAUCCAGGUGUGGAAAGUGAUACGUUCGCAGAGAACCGGUGAAAUUCAGCUGGCCCAGGCCAUUCAGUGUGAAUGGCAUUUGUUUGCAACUCCCCAUGCAGUAUCCACAGUGUGCCACAUGCCACCCUAUCCUGAGAGGUCAGCAAAGAGGUUAAUGUUAUUAGUGAUAUUAUUUUCAGGUCUGAGAGGUUCAGAGAUAUUAAGGAAUUAUACCAUGGGACUGCAUAGAAUGGUCCAAAUGGGGUUUAAACCCGGGGCUGGAACCCUAACUUCUACUUGUAGAGCUCAUGAGGUUUCUUGAAUUUGUUGGUCUGGGUUUUGUUGAGCUCUACUGAGGCCCAUUUCCAGAUUGGCUCCAAGGGAGUUGCAGUGGAGCUGGGAAACUUACUCUGGUAGUACAGAGCAGAGCUGGGAACUUUAUUCUGGUAGGACAGAACUAGUCUGUCCCCGGACUUCGGGCGCUGUCCUCUCUCCAGUCUCCUUGGCUAUCAUAGGUAGUGCUAUUAUUUUGGGUGGUCACUACCAGACUUUCUAAUCUGUUUUCAAACCUUUCUCCCAGCUUCUCCAGGACACUGGAUUUUGUGGGUAUCGGAAGGGUCCUUUGGCUCUGGGCUGGAGUCAGAUGAGCUAUGAAGAAAGGAAGCCAGAAGAGAGCAUCAGUUCCCAUGGAAGUGAAGUUACAGGUGACUGUGAGCUACCUCACGUGAGUAGAGUAUACUCUUAACCGCUCGGUCAUGUCCCAGCCUGAACCCGUGUCUGUAAUACAAUCUAUAGACGUUGUUUCUCUUGCUUUUGCUUUUUAAAGCAAUAUAGAAAAAGGAGCAAAGGUUAGAGUUGGGGCUUUCUGACAUGGUGGCAAAAUAACCAGAAAUAAAUAAUUUAAGUUUGGAUCCAUUGUCAUUCACCGCCCUCCCCCCCACACACACAUACUGUGGUAAGGCAGAGCAUCAUGGGGGGGAACAUGUGUUAGAGAAAAUUGUUCAUCUCGUAGUAGAUGGAAAGGAGAGGUUUGGACAAUGUGGGAGGGAGGGAAGAGGAGAGCAAGGAAGGGGUGGGCACCAAGGGUGGUCUAGAGACAAGACAGAUCUACCGAAGGUAUACUCUGAAUGACCCUUCAACUAGAUCCUACUUCCAUCACCUCCUGAUAGCCCAUCAAACUGUGAACCCCUCAAUCAAUGAGUUAAUUCAUCAAUGAUGUCAUAGCUGGCAUGAUUCAUUGAUACACCCAAAGCGAUCUCAAUGCAUCAGUGGCAAGAAUUUCAUCACAGGAGGGCAUUUCAAGAUCAAAACAAAAUAGGGCUCCAAGGGGUUAUAAAAAGUCCCAGACUAGGUCUGGUGGCUAAGUGACCCAAGUGGAACACUUACAAGCUAUGCCAUAUUAUCUCUCCCACUAAUAUGAAUGAGAAUAGAUUCUUCUUAUCUUUCUUGCAUGCCUCCUGAGAAAAUGAACCACAGGAAGUCUAAAGGAAAUGCUCCGUAAAUGCUGAAAUGUUCCAAAGCCUGAAAAUGUUCCAAAUACCGAAAUCCCUGCCUUUUCUCUCCAAGGCUGCCAUGUAGGAGUUAUAGAAGCCACACGCAUAAGAUCUUGUUGUUCCUAUGCAAGGACCGGGAGCCUUGCUUCAGUCUCAGACCUGAUCUUGUGACUCUCAAGUGUUCUAGUGUGUCCACUGCUGCCUUGGACCUUUGGCAGAAUAAUCAGAGCCCCUCCACCUCACCAUUUCUAAGAGAUUUCCACAUAAAACAAAAUGCUUGCUGUGCAAAUCUCAUGAUUUACAAGAUCACUGACCAAGACCAAGAUCACUGACCCUAUACCUGUCCAUGAAAUUGCUCCUGUGGCAUGGGUCAGUAUCACUAAAUUUCUAGAUGUUCUGUCUGUUGGAUGACUUCUCGUCCUCACCAGCUUAGGUGAAACAAAGAAGGACCCAAUAACUCUGCUUCUCCAUGAAGGAAUUUACUUUGUCACAGGCUUGGAAGAAGGAGAGUGAGUAUGUAUUAUGGUCAGGAAAAUGUCCACAUGACAGUGGUGCAUCUGAGGGACUGGCUCAAUGUGUUUCCAGCGGUGGGUGCUACAUUGAAGGGGUUGUUAGAAGACAAAGCCAUGGGUCUCAGAACCAUGUGGAUGAAUAGAAACAAGCCAGAAGGGAAAUAAACACUAUUCACUUCUUCUGUUUUACAGUAGGAACUGUGAGUAAGUUUCUUGAUGCACAGUCACUGCUUAUCUUUUUAGCUUCCCGAGAGCUAGGAAGGCCACAUAAUACUCUUUCUAUAGUUUUCAAGAUUCCCUUAUGUGAUCACUCAGUAUAUUAUAUUAGCAUUCAAUUCACAAGCCUGCCUUUAACAGAUAGACAGUGCAGAAUUUAAAAUCUGAAUAUAUAUAUCCCCUCAUGUUUAUUGAUAGGAAUUUCAAAUGCAGAAAUAGAGCCCGAAUGGUUAGAAUAGGGAUAAUUGUACAGGUAGGUUUUACUAAAAACCAAGGAAGGCUUUGGAAGGCUUUUUGGCGCGUAGAGCCAUCAAAGUGUAAAUGCUCUGCUAGGGAAGUAAUUGUUUUCUGUUAGAGGUAAGCAAGCAGAGUGGGGGAGGGACUUGGAGCUUACGAGGUUUAUAUGUCGACUGGUAACCUUCAUGUUCUCACAGAUCUUUAGCCACACAUAUAGAAAGAAUUCGAUAUGUGUAUUUAAAU